Molecule: ribosomal RNA, 253 nt
Filed under: uncultured bacterium
Lineage: Bacteria
Description: partial 16S ribosomal RNA
Rfam family: Bacterial small subunit ribosomal RNA
Source: RNAcentral
UACGUAGGGUGCAAGCGUUGUCCGGAAUUAUUGGGCGUAAAGAGCUCGUAGGCGGUUUGUCGCGUCUGCUGUGAAACGCGAGGCUCAACCUCGCGCCUGCAGUGGGUACGGGCAGACUGGAGGUAUGCAGGGGAGAACGGAAUUCCUGGUGUAGCGGUGAAAUGCGCAGAUAUCAGGAGGAACACCGGUGGCGAAGGCGGUUCUCUGGGCGAUGUCCUGACGGCUGAGGAGCGAAAGUGUGGGAGCGAACAGG